RNAcentral lists this ribosomal RNA (468 nucleotides) under uncultured bacterium. RNAcentral describes it as "partial 16S ribosomal RNA". It matches the Rfam family "Bacterial small subunit ribosomal RNA", at positions 28 to 507 of the family's 1533-position model. The record is from RNAcentral.
GACGAACGCUGGCGGCGUGCUUAACACAUGCAAGUCGAACGGAAAGGCCCUGCUUUUGCUGGGUGCUCGAGUGGCGAACGGGUGAGUAACACGUGAGUAACCUGCCCUUGACUUUGGGAUAACUUCAGGAAACUGGGGCUAAUACCGGGUAGGAGCUCCUGAUGCACGGUGGUGGUUGGUAAGUUUCGGCGGUUGGGGCUGGACUGGCGGCUUAUCCGCUUGUUGGGGGGGUAGUGGCUUACGAAGUCUUCGACGGGUAGCCGGCCUGGGAGGGUGGCCGGCGACAAUGGUACUGAGGGACGGAGCAGACGCGAACGGGAGGCAGCAGGGGGGAAUAUGGCGCAGUGGGCGGAAGCGUGAGGCAGCAGCGCCGCGUGCGGGAUGACGGCCUACGGGUGAUAAACAGCUGUCGACGGUGACGAAGCGGUAUUGACGGUAAUGGGUAAAGAAGCACCGGCUAACUACGUG